ACCGCUCCCGCCGCCGCUGGACUUCAAUGCCCAGUCCCCAGCUCGCCAGCGUUUUUCGUUGGAAUAUACGUUGCACAUUUAUGGCGAUUCUGAGCGUGAGGGCAGACUUCUGCCAGGCUCAGCACAGCGUUUCCGCUGACAAGUGAGCUUGGAGGUUCUAUGUGCCAUAAUUAACAUUGCCUUGAACACUCUGGACAGAGACUGGCCUCAGAAAUAGUUGGCUUUUUUUUUUAUUGCAAGCAUAUACCUUUUAAUGACUCCAGUAAAAUUAAGCAUCAAGUAAACAAAAGUGGAAAGCGACCUACUCUUUUAACUUGUCUCACUAGUGCCUAAAUGUAGUAAAGGCUGCUUAAGUUUCGUAUGUAGUUGGAUUUUUUUGGAGUCCGAAGGUAUCCAUCAGCAGACUUUGAGGCCCAAAUUGAAUUUGGAUUCAAGUGGAUUCUAAAUACUUCUGCUUACCUUGAAGGGAGAAGCUUCUUAAAGAAUAAACAAGUUGAAUAGAGAAAACACUGAUCAAUAAUAGGCAUUUUAGUGGUCUUUUUAAUGUUUUCUGCUGUGAAACAUUUCAAGAUUUAUUGCUUUUUUUUUUCAUUUUCCCCAUCACACUCACACACGCAUGCUCACAGUUUUUAUUUGCCAUAAUGAACCGUCCAGCCCCUGUGGAGAUCUCCUAUGAGAACAUGCGUUUUCUGAUAACCCACAACCCUACCAAUGCUACCCUCAACAAGUUCACAGAGGAAUUUAAGAAGUAUGGAGUGACAACUUUGGUUCAAGUUUGUGAUGCUACAUAUGAUAAAGCACCAGUUGAAAAAGAAGGAAUCCACGUUCUAGAUUGGCCUUUUGAUGAUGGAGCACCACCCCCUAAUCAGAUAGUUGACGAUUGGCUAAACCUACUAAAAACCAAAUUUCAUGAAAAGCCAGGUUGUUGUGUUGCAGUGCAUUGUGUUGCAGGACUGGGAAGGGCACCUGUGCUGGUCGCACUUGCUUUGAUUGAAUGUGGAAUGAAGUACGAAGAUGCAGUUCAGUUUCUAAGACAAAAAAGAAGGGGAGCAUUCAGUUCCAAAUAGCUGCUUUACCUGGAGGAAUACUGACCUAAGGUGUGAUUAUGCUUCAGAGAUACCAAUGGGCAUUGCUGCGUUCAGUAGAAAGAAAUGUAUGAGAAGGCUGACUUGAUAGUGGCAUUUAGAGGGAACUCUUGGUACCUGGAAAUGUGAAUCUGGAAUCUUAACUGUGUCAUCAAAGUAGUGAUGGAUUCAGUACUCCUCAACCAUUCUCCUAAUGAUUGGAAAAAA
This is an RNA transcript of Aethalodelphis obliquidens (Pacific white-sided dolphin), 1292 nucleotides long. It is a transcript of the gene named protein tyrosine phosphatase type IVA 2 pseudogene, with no coding region annotated. Lineage: Eukaryota; Metazoa; Chordata; Mammalia; Artiodactyla; Delphinidae. The transcript has a single exon. The record is from RefSeq and is a predicted model, not a curated record.